ACGAGGAAUUCCUAGUAAGCACGUGUCAUCAGCACGUGCUGAUUACGUCCCUGCAAAAUGUACACACCGCCCGUCGCUAUUACCGAUUGAGUGUAAAGGUGAACCUUCUCGAUAGACGCAAGUUUAGAAAUUAAGUAAACCUUUGCACUUAGAGGAAAUAAAAGUCGUAACAAGGUUUCCGUAGGUGAACCUGCGGAAGGAUC
RNAcentral lists this ribosomal RNA (203 nucleotides) under Vorticella microstoma. RNAcentral's name for it is "partial 18S ribosomal RNA". It matches the Rfam family "Eukaryotic small subunit ribosomal RNA", at positions 1603 to 1827 of the family's 1831-position model. RNAcentral also lists the same sequence under 3 other names. The record is from RNAcentral. Lineage: Eukaryota; Ciliophora; Oligohymenophorea; Sessilida; Vorticellidae.